This 222-nucleotide ribosomal RNA is filed under the name uncultured bacterium. Its description in RNAcentral is "partial 16S ribosomal RNA". It matches the Rfam family "Bacterial small subunit ribosomal RNA", at positions 109 to 334 of the family's 1533-position model. The record is from RNAcentral.
AGUAAUGUAUGGGGAUCUGCCCGAUAGAGGGGGAUAACUACUGGAAACGGUGGUUAAUACCGCAUAAUGUCUACGGACCAAAGCAGGGGCUCUUCGGACCUUGCACUAUCGGAUGAACCCAUAUGGGAUUAGCUAGUAGGUGGGGUAAAGGCUCACCUAGGCGACGAUCUCUAGCUGGUCUGAGAGGAUGAUCAGCCACACUGGGACUGAGACACGGCCCAG